GAAGGAAGAGACCGUGUCCCAAAUGAAGAUCAUUGAUCCAUCUAAUAAAUCUCAGGAUCAAAGUGGACAGUCUAUGUUGAAGAUGGAUGUUGCUGCAAAGAAAGAGUCUGUGCCCCAAAAGAAGAUUGUUGAUCCAUCUAGUAAACCUGAGGAUCAAGGUGCUCAGUCUAUGUUGAGGAUGGAUGUUCCUGCAAAGGAAGAGUCUAUGCCCCAAAAUAAGAUUGGUGAUCCAUCUAAUAAACCUGAGAAUCAAAGUGGUCGGUCUAUGUUCAAGAUGGAUGUUGCUGCAAAGAAAGAAUCCGUAUCCAAUAAGAAGAUAGUUGAUCCAUCUAGUAAACCUGAGGAUCAAGGUGCUCAGUAUGUGUUGAGGGUGAAUGUUGCUGCAAAGAAAGAGUCUGUGUCCGAAACGAAGAUUGUUGAUCCACCUAAUAAACCUGAGGAUCAACGUGUAUUAGAGAAAACUCCUAGCAGUGUCAGGAAUAUGAUAAGUGCCUUUGAAACCGGUCUUGCUCAGGUACUUCUACUCUCCAGCUUAUUGUAGGGUGAAAUAUGCCAUGUAGUGGACUUGCUAUGCUGAUAACCUUUUUCCUUGUGUUUACAUGAAACUUUGGAAAUAUUGAACUGACUGCAUCAUCAGAAGAAAGGGAGAAGGUCGCUUACAAGGAAUCGAGCAUCAAAAUCC
Molecule: long non-coding RNA, 682 nt
Filed under: Nicotiana tabacum (common tobacco)
Lineage: Eukaryota; Viridiplantae; Streptophyta; Magnoliopsida; Solanales; Solanaceae
Description: long non-coding RNA (NTAB_LNC004701)
Source: RNAcentral